ACCCAGUUAAUUUCUGCCAUGCUCAAAUGUAUCUUUCUGCACGUCUGACUUAAAUAUUAACAGUGCUUUGCAUCGCCGGCGCUUUUCCUGUGCUCAGCUUCAGUGUAGGGCUGGGGGGAAAAGUGGCUGGGGGGCAGAGGCUGCUUUUAACAUCUCUGAGGCGCUAAAAUCGAAUAAAUCAUUGGCUGGAGCUGCUUCCACUCCGAAGCAGGCUGAGUUUCACCUCCUGGAGCCACGGCCCAGCCUCAGCGAGCCUCUGCCAGGGGCUGGUGAGCAGAGAGGACGGGACAGCUGAGCUGACGAGGACUGGGAGCUUUAAUUGCACCUCUGGUGAUGAAAUACGGAUGGAGCUGGAGCUGGAUGGGACUGAGCCACCCAGGGAAGAGCUGCAGAGAAGGCUGUGGUGACCAUGACCUGGUGAUCCAUGGACUCCAGAGCCUCCUGAGGUGCCCACGGGGCUGCAGGGCCAGGAGCCAGCCUGAGGAUCCAGGGGCUGCUCGAGCAAAGCAGCUGCACCACGCCGAGUCUGCUCCAGGCCCGGGGAAAAUGACAAAAAGGCAACAUUUGCCAGGAAAGAAUGCAGAACUAAGUGGGGAAAAUACAUUUUAAUGAAAUGCAAAUAUGUUUCCCGGCAUCUAGGAGAGAAUUAAAAGCAUAAAUAAAUAAAUGGAA
Molecule: long non-coding RNA, 672 nt
Organism: Motacilla alba alba
Lineage: Eukaryota; Metazoa; Chordata; Aves; Passeriformes; Motacillidae
Exons: 2
Source: RefSeq, a predicted model, not a curated record